GUCUGGGUGGUGUAGUUGGUUAUCACGCUAGUCUCACACUAGAAGUCCCCGGUUCAAACCCAGGCUCAGACA
This is a non-coding RNA of Cucurbita pepo subsp. pepo (vegetable marrow), 72 nucleotides long. Lineage: Eukaryota; Viridiplantae; Streptophyta; Magnoliopsida; Cucurbitales; Cucurbitaceae. The record is from the annotation of a RefSeq genome assembly.